This is a long non-coding RNA of Rana temporaria (common frog), 453 nucleotides long. RefSeq lists it as uncharacterized. The record is from RefSeq and is a predicted model, not a curated record. Lineage: Eukaryota; Metazoa; Chordata; Amphibia; Anura; Ranidae. The transcript has 3 exons.
UAUAUUUAUAUUAACAUUAUCUUUAUUACUGCUGUCGUUUGCAGUUUUAAUAAUUAACUUUCAAACUAAUCUGUCAUUAUACAAUCUGAUGAUGUAGUGAAUGACUUCCUAUUUUGUGCAGUAUAGUAUUGACAGAAAUCUCUUGGGAUGAAUUAUAUCCAUCUCUUCUGAGACUACCUCAUCAUCAAUCUUCCCAUUUUUUCUAUCAUCAUUUUAAUCAGUACCUGCUUGCCUCCGGCCCCUCUUCCUCUAUAGGCUUGCAUCCAGGCUCUGUGCAUUGCACGGCGUUCCUACCCGCAUGCUUAAGAGGAUCAUUUCCUCUUUUUCCCAUCCCUCCUUCCAUCUAUCUGGGAUUCUCCAUCUGGGACUUUGAGCCAAUCACGGCCAAUCAUUCAGGUUUUUUUAGUCCACUUUUACAGACUACUGCCCCCCAUUGGUUCCUGACGAAGCCCC